RNAcentral lists this ribosomal RNA (88 nucleotides) under Trichonephila inaurata madagascariensis. Lineage: Eukaryota; Metazoa; Arthropoda; Arachnida; Araneae; Nephilidae. The record is from RNAcentral.
UAAAAACAUCGGUUCUCGUCCGGUCACCGAAGUUAAGCAUCUUCGGGCGCGGUCAGUUCUUGGGAGGGUGACCACCUGGGAACACCGC